Macrobrachium nipponense is the source of this 953-nucleotide long non-coding RNA. RefSeq lists it as uncharacterized. The record is from RefSeq and is a predicted model, not a curated record. NCBI's taxonomy places the organism in Eukaryota, Metazoa, Arthropoda, Malacostraca, Decapoda, Palaemonidae. The transcript is spliced from 9 exons.
UUGGACCUCGAGCCAGUGUAGCUGCGGCGGGCCCCUUGCGAAGAUGAAUAGUUCUCCGUUUGGCUUGCCGGCAAGCCUCCAAGCCACUCCCUUUCGUGGGUUUAUAGUCACUACUUGAUAAAUAUCACUCCUCCACAUGAGAGAAAAAUAAUGGCUUACGACUUCAACUUCGCCCCAUUCAGCCAUAUUAAGGAACCUUCGCUCCUCUUUGACAUUGAGGAUAUUUAUAACAUGCUUCUCUGCCCGUAAAAUGCGUCUACCACCGCUCAUCAGCGAAGGACGGCAAUCAUGGCUGUCACCCUGCUGACAACUGGAUACCUGCAGAAAGGACUCUCUGUACCAGUGGACAAAAGCCAGGCAAAUGGUGUGGGCACCUUCCCUUUAGCUACGAAAGCAGAUGCAAUGGAGUGGCUGUAAAGUUUAGUCUGCGAUGAAGGAAACCCUAUUCAUCUCAAGGAUUUGGAGAAAUUAUUCGAGUCUUCGCCCCUCCUAACUUAUUCUGACUCUGGUUGGGUCAUGUUUCAGUCUUCAGUUCUGCGCCAUUCCGUCACAGCUGUGGUUUAUCAAGCCGCUGACUUGUAGGCCUCCUACAAAUGGUCUCCAGUGCAGAUGAGAAGCGAGCGGGGUGUUCAAGAAGAAAGGAACACGUUAAUAAGGCUUUAGGAGGAGCUCAAGUUGUUGACAGUUUAUUUUUUGGAGAAGAAAGUAGUUAUGAAAUUUUAGAGGGAAGAGAGACGAUUCUGUACGUAAGAAUGGUGCUGACAACUUAUCCGUAAAAAAUGUGACGACGUUUUCAGCGGCAAAGGUGCAUAGAGUAAUACUGGCCUUCUUAAGAGAGAUGAUCCAAACCGCGAUAUGUGCCUUGGGGGUCAUGAGAUGCGCGUGCUUAUUCUCAGCAGAUUGAAUGAUUUUGUAUAUUAAAACUUCAGAAAUAAAUUUUCUUUUCCCUAAUA